GGCAUGUCGGGCCCCAGGCCUGUGGUGCUGAGCGGGCCUUCGGGAGCUGGGAAGAGCACCCUGCUGAAGAGGCUGCUCCAGGAGCACAGCGGCAUCUUUGGCUUCAGCGUGUCCCAUACCACGAGGAACCCGAGGCCCGGCGAGGAGAACGGCAAAGGUGAGUGGGGUGGGGCCCUAUGGCUGGAGCACCUCCAGUGUGGGCAGGGCUGCUGGGCCCUGCAACUGUGUUGGCUGUGCUGCCCGUCUCCUGCCCCCAUCAAUCCCUCAUCUGUGAGAUGGGUCCUUGCCUCCAAGGGCCGGUGAACUCAAUCAGGGUGUCAGCGCC
Molecule: small RNA, 325 nt
Filed under: Pan troglodytes (chimpanzee)
Lineage: Eukaryota; Metazoa; Chordata; Mammalia; Primates; Hominidae
Description: processed transcript
Source: RNAcentral